UGCACCUGAAAGAAGACAGCUAUGGACCACAAAGAUGUAAGCAGAGGAGUCUUUUGAGAAAUAGAUAUUCAAAUCCUUCUGAGUGAGUGAAGCUAUUUUUCUACUCCCAUGUGUUUUGAUCCAUGUCAUUUGAAGAAUUUGGAUUCUCUCCCCCAUCCCCCUCAGCGAAAGGAUAUGUGGCAUUUAGCUGUCUGCUGGGCUAAGGCAGAAUAGAAAGAAUCUACAAAUAUUCUCGGAAGAUUGAUCUCUCAAACAGUACUAGCCACUUGGAAACAGCUGAAGAACUCCAGUUCUUUUGGCCAUUUCACGUCUGUCAAAUGCUCCAGUCCACAAAUCAUCUUCGUAGAUCUUGCCUCACUGUGAUCUUGUUUGUCUUGUAUUGAGGAAGCUAGAAGUGAACACAGCACUCCAGAUAAGAAUAAUGAAGCAAUACUGCUUUCCAUCCAGUCAGCCCACAGCGUUCUCCUUCAUCGAAUUAUUAUUCCCCAGGCAAGGUUUUGCAUUUUUUAAUUUUUAUUUUUUAUGUAGAACUUAAUGAGGUUUCUGUUAAUCCAUUUCUACGGCCUGUUGAGUUCCUCCUGAAUGGCAGGUCAACCAUUUGGUCUGUCAAUUGUUUCUAAAAGUUUUGUAUUGUCUAGAAAUUUGCUAAGGUCGCACUCUGUUACAUUUCAGAA
Long non-coding RNA from Gallus gallus (chicken), 674 nucleotides. RefSeq lists it as uncharacterized. The transcript has 4 exons. The record is from RefSeq and is a predicted model, not a curated record. NCBI's taxonomy places the organism in Eukaryota, Metazoa, Chordata, Aves, Galliformes, Phasianidae.